Molecule: small nucleolar RNA, 88 nt
Filed under: Microcebus murinus (gray mouse lemur)
Lineage: Eukaryota; Metazoa; Chordata; Mammalia; Primates; Cheirogaleidae
Description: Small nucleolar RNA SNORD14 (ENSMICG00000019847.3)
Source: RNAcentral
UCACUGUGAUGAGUAAUGAAUUAAACAUUUGUAGUUUCCACCAAAAGCUUGGCUGAUGAUGGCCUAACUUCCUUGGAUUUCUGAGCAA